RNAcentral lists this non-coding RNA (28 nucleotides) under Homo sapiens (human). The record is from RNAcentral. Lineage: Eukaryota; Metazoa; Chordata; Mammalia; Primates; Hominidae.
UGUUUGGGAGCCAAUGAUUGGAAUCAAA